This 599-nucleotide long non-coding RNA is filed under the name Homo sapiens (human). RNAcentral describes it as "HSALNT0221973". The record is from RNAcentral. Lineage: Eukaryota; Metazoa; Chordata; Mammalia; Primates; Hominidae.
GUGCUUUAUGCUGUUGGAUGUUGGAACCCAACGCAUGACCCUGGGUUUAGCCCUUUGGGAUUUCAUCUUAUUCAUUUCAUGCAAUCUGUCGAGAUAAUUUCCAGCCUGAUUUUGUGAGGCAUUGCUGUGGCAGGUCCUCCCAGGCUUGUGUCGGGCUGACGUAUGGAAUUUUCUCCAGCUCUGGAUGCUUUUCAUUCUGUGCCCUGUGCCAGAGUGUUCCACCGCAAACCUGGCAGAGGAGACGCACUGUCUGAAGCCAGACGCACCGCGCGCUUCCUUCUCCCCUCGCCUGUCUGCCUGGCGGAUGUCUUCCACUCACAAUGCAAAACCCUGGGAGCUUCGAGGAUGUGCCCUUUCUCCUCCAUCCUGAACUAAUGGAAAUCAAGGCUGAAGGCUGAGCCUGCCGGGGAGCCCACAAGAGCCCCUCAGUGCCACAGAGGCCUGGCCUGACUUUGGCAGGUCUCCAGCAGUGACCACAGAGUGCUAAAUAAUAAUAGGGUUGAAUUAUUUAUACAGAGGCCAAUGACUCAUGAGGCAUGGUCCACUUCUAGAAGAGUGCCAGGGUCCCAAGUCUAAGGUGAGUGGCCACCAGAGGGAGG